AGGGCAGAAGCCUGUUUUGAGGCCUUCAUUUGUGGUGUUUGCCCUUAGUAAGUGGUGUUGACAAGUGGGUCCGACGCAACAAAAAUUCAUGAACCCCGUCAGGUCCGGAAGGAAGCAGCGGUAAGUGGACACUUUUGUGUGCCGUCGGGUAGCCUGCUUCGAGCUAACUGCUUUGGUUACAACCGGAAGUGAUUGUCGAAGACAGGGCGCGG
Molecule: signal recognition particle RNA, 212 nt
Filed under: Peptococcaceae bacterium
Lineage: Bacteria; Bacillati; Bacillota; Clostridia; Eubacteriales; Peptococcaceae
Description: Bacterial large signal recognition particle RNA
Rfam family: Bacterial large signal recognition particle RNA
About the family: The signal recognition particle (SRP) is a universally conserved ribonucleoprotein involved in the co-translational targeting of proteins to membranes. Archaeal SRP consists of a 7S RNA and homologues of the eukaryotic SRP19 and SRP54 proteins.
Source: Rfam by way of RNAcentral